This 1423-nucleotide long non-coding RNA is filed under the name Marmota monax (woodchuck). The record is from RNAcentral. Lineage: Eukaryota; Metazoa; Chordata; Mammalia; Rodentia; Sciuridae.
AUUUGUAAUGUUUUGAACAACCAACAAUAAAAAAUUAAAAAAAAACAAAAAAAAAAGAAAUAGAAUAAAUGGAUAAGAAAUAUGAACUUAACUAAUGUUUUUAUCUUGCAAGGAAUUAGCAAAAUAUUAAGACAAUUUCAGUUCUACUUCCUCUCAAAGAGGCUUCCUCUCAAAGACCUCAAAGUCAGGAAAAAACUGAAAACAUUUUAUCACAUUUGAACUUUCAAGUUUAAAAAAAGUACAUGAAAGAUGUUCAGAUGUUCUUUUCUAGGUUAUACUUCAUGUGCUAUUCUAUAUAAAUGCAGAUUUCUUAUUCUCCUUGUAAAGGCCUUAGAGUUUUGUUGUAGAGAAGCCUAGCAUAAAUUAAACUUUAAAUUAAAUUUCAUUCCAUUGGCAAGUUCUGAUAGAAGUAAUGUUACAUUUUUGGCAGAUUCAUCUUUACUAUGGGUUGUACUUUAAUAUUGCAAAAGUAGUGGGAAGAUAUUAUGUUACUUUAAAUUCCAGAAUAUUGUUAGACCAGCAUUAGAAAUGGUGCAAUUUUAAUAAACAAAAGGAGCCUUAGUAAUAUAUUAAAGGGAUAAUAGAAUUUUAAUUCAGCUCACUAAUCCAGAAACUUCUGAUGGGCUUUCUAUCUUUGAGAAUUUGCUUUUUUUUAAAUCUUUUUAGAAAAACCAGACAGUAAGAUUUUCAAACCUAGUUUUGAGAUUAUGAUUGUGAUGGGAAGAUUUUAUGAAAUUGAUUAGUGAAAUGGUGUAGUUAUUUGUACAGAUGAAAAACACACUAGUCAUACAGUUCAGUCAAGGUACCAUUGACCUGGGUGCUAAUAACAUGCUAAUUUCCAUCAGGGAGACAGCAAUGUAUGGCAGUUGGGCAGCAGAAAGGAUUUAGCUAUUUUUCAUUAGCACUUGGACUUUGAUAAAGGGGAAUAGAAAAGAGCUGCUUGACCUUUCAGUGCUUAAAUUAUUAAAGAGCAAAUAGAUUUGAGGUCUGGAUGCUUGCAAAUCUAAUUUGUCUUGUGGAGCAAGGAUGAAAAGACAUUUGGGGUUUGAAAUUGCUCCGGUCAACUUAGUUCUUUCUUUAAUAUAUCUGGUGAUGAGUAGAUGGUAACCAUUUAAAAAGUAAUAUGUCUGGAGUAGAGUGUAUAAUAUAACUAAUACCAGCUGGCAAAAAGGGAGGCCCAUUAAAUGAUCAUUUCAUUCUCUGAUUGUCACCUAAUCCUCAUUAAAUUGCUUCUGUGGAAAAAAAAAACCUUCUUCAUCCAUAUUCUCUUAAAUGGUACAUAAGUUACAGAAGAAAAUUUUGUUUCAUUAAGAAAUGUCUCAUUAAGGAACAAUAGAUUAUAUAGUUUGAGUUACAGUCAGGCAUUACCUGGCACAGAUUAGGCACUCAAAAAUAUUUAUUAAAUUAAUAAGUAAGUGAACAC